UUUUGUGACAGCGAGUAGUCGUGAGCAUGGAGGGGCUAUAGCUGGGCGAAGGGAGCAACGUCACUGUCUUGAGGCUGUACUUGGUUGAGUGUGACCUGAAAAAUCAGGGCAAGUCUGGCAUUGUGGGGGCCAAGUGCUUACCUGCGCUUAAACGUUAUGAUGAGCUUACAGGAGCACCGCCAAGAUCUGCACUGCGGUGCUUAUGCUGCUAGUUGGGCAUUGUGGCAGCCAAGUACUCAUGGCUGCUUAGAUACUACAAUGAUCCUACACAAGAGGACCACCUAGGUCAAUGAAGCACCAUAGAACCCACCACCGGUCUCCUGCGCUAACGACGUUGUCGUUAAUGGGCGUUGGUCUCAGACAAUGCAUGUCCACGCAGCAUGGAGCUGCUGC
This is a long non-coding RNA of Lolium perenne, 393 nucleotides long. RefSeq lists it as uncharacterized. Lineage: Eukaryota; Viridiplantae; Streptophyta; Magnoliopsida; Poales; Poaceae. The record is from RefSeq and is a predicted model, not a curated record.